UGACCCCUCAGAUUUAUCUGGUGACCCGUUGGAGGGGCUCGACCCUUAGGUUGGGAGUCACUAGCCUUAGAUGAAGCUUCACCUGAGUAUUGAAACCACCACAUUAAUGUCUCCCACAUACAUCUUUCUGCAGAGUACCCUGACUUUUAAAUACAUGCAGCUUUAUUUCUUCAACCGGGACUGGGACUUAUAUAAAUAAACAGAUGCUUCACGCUCGGCCGACCGGUUGUCAUCUGUAAACCCUGAAGAUCAGAACUUGUGUACAUGCAGCAGCAGCAGCUAUACAUUCAUGUCUUGGGGAGUAAUGAGGAUGCACGGAGGCUUCCCGCACAGAGCUGCAGGCCCCUCACGCUCUCCC
This is a long non-coding RNA of Gasterosteus aculeatus aculeatus (three-spined stickleback), 358 nucleotides long. Lineage: Eukaryota; Metazoa; Chordata; Actinopteri; Perciformes; Gasterosteidae. The record is from Ensembl.